Molecule: small nucleolar RNA, 107 nt
Organism: Panicum virgatum (switchgrass)
Lineage: Eukaryota; Viridiplantae; Streptophyta; Magnoliopsida; Poales; Poaceae
Source: RefSeq, a predicted model, not a curated record
AUGCCGUGGUGUGGGCAUGCUUGAAUGUAUUCCUGUAGACGCUCCCAGGCCUCUGGGAUGGUCUCAUCCGGUAAUUGCUGGAUACCGGAGAUUUUGUUCCGGAGGGC